CUACGGGUCGCUCCAGUGGGGAAUAUUGGACAAUGGGGGAAACCCUGAUCCAGCAAUGCCGCGUGUGUGAAGAAGGCCUGCGGGUUGUAAAGCACUUUCGGUUGGGAGGACUGCUUCUAGCACUAAUAUUGUUGGAAGUUGACGUUACCUUCAGAAGAAGCACCGGCUAACUCCGUGCCAGCAGCCGCGGUAAUACGGAGGGUGCAAGCGUUAAUCGGAAUUACUGGGCGUAAAGCGCGCGUAGGCGGCUAGAUCAGUCGGGUGUGAAAGCCCCGGGCUUAACCUGGGAACUGCAUCCGAUACUGUCUAGCUUGAGUACAGGAGAGGAGGGUGGAAUUACACAUGUAGCGGUGAUAUGCGUAGAUAUGUGGAGGAACACCAAUGGCGAAGGCAGCUCUCUGGCCUGAUACUGACGCUGAGGUGCGAAAGCGUGGGGGGCAAACAGGAUUAGAUACCCUAGUAGUC
RNAcentral lists this ribosomal RNA (465 nucleotides) under uncultured bacterium. RNAcentral describes it as "partial 16S ribosomal RNA". It matches the Rfam family "Bacterial small subunit ribosomal RNA", at positions 339 to 795 of the family's 1533-position model. The record is from RNAcentral.